Molecule: long non-coding RNA, 909 nt
Filed under: Ananas comosus (pineapple)
Lineage: Eukaryota; Viridiplantae; Streptophyta; Magnoliopsida; Poales; Bromeliaceae
Description: long non-coding RNA (ACOM_LNC012720)
Source: RNAcentral
UAAUUUUAUAUAUAUAUAUAUAUAUAUAUAUAGAGAGAGAGAGAGAGAGAGAGAGAGAGAGAGAGAGAGAGUCCAGCUAUGGUGCUUGUAAAAGCACAAAACAUUUGAUGCUUGUAAGUUUUUUAUCGUUAGAUCUACUUCUCGAAUCAUUUUCAACCAUUAGAUUAUAUAUACUAUUCAACCAACCACCCACUCAACCCUAGGGGGCCCACAUCAUCCUAAUCUCAUAUCUCUUAAUCCAAUGGUUAAAAAUCUACAAGCACCAAUAACUUGGUAUUUUUAAAAGCAUAGGAGCUCAAUUAUGUAUAUAUAUAUAUCCAAAUCAAUUGAAUUUUUGUUAGAAAAUUGUUUAAACUAUUUAAAAUAAGAUCUAUACUCUUGAUCUUGAUUAUAAGACUCCUAUCAUCAUUUUUUAAAGAGUAUUCAUUUUCAGCCAUUCAUUUUUCUGUUCACUUGAUGGAUAAAAGAACAAUAUCGAAAGUGCGUGAAAUUUGAUUUCUAGAUAGUUUAAAUGGUUUAGAUCAUAUUUAACGGAGUCGAUCGUCAAUUUGGAAGCUCUAUCAUCGAAAACAAAUCGGUAGUAAAACAGCUCGUUUACUACCGAUAGUAUUCUAGCUCAACUCUAUAUAUAUAUAUAUAUAUAGUGUAGAGCUACUAUAUAUGGGAAGCAUAGAGCGUUUGAUGCUUCCGAUAUUUUGACCCUUGGAUUAAGAAUUAUACGUUUGGGAUGAUUGCGGUCCCUCCAGAAUUGAGUAGUACCUCUAAGGUUGAGUGGUCCCCACAGGGUAAUAGUAUUAAUCCAAAAGUUAAAAAUGAUUAAAGGGGCUGAUCUAACUCCCAAAAAAUCGGAAGCAUUAGAUUCUCUAUGCUUCCGAUAGUAUAGUAGCUCUACUAUAUAUAUAUAUAUAU